UACGUAGGGGGCUAGCGUUGUCCGGAAUCAUUGGGCGUAAAGAGCGUGUAGGCGGCUCGGUAAGUCCGCUGUGAAAGUCGGGGGCUCAACCCUCGAAUGCCGGUGGAUACUGUCGAGCUAGAGUGCGGAAGAGGCGAGUGGAAUUCCUGGUGUAGCGGUGAAAUGCGCAGAUAUCAGGAGGAACACCGGUGGUGUAGACGGCUUACUGGACCACGACUGACACUGAGGCACGAAAGCGUGGGUAGCAAACAGG
This 253-nucleotide ribosomal RNA is filed under the name uncultured bacterium. RNAcentral's name for it is "partial 16S ribosomal RNA". It matches the Rfam family "Bacterial small subunit ribosomal RNA", at positions 524 to 776 of the family's 1533-position model. The record is from RNAcentral.